UACGGUCCCACCGAUUGAUACACCACCUCAUCUGAUAGAUCUUAGUGAAUGUAUCAAUCAAUAGGUAGACAACUCUUGUCCAACGCUUUUCAAGCAAAUUACAGCAAAUUUGAUCUCUAAGUCCUAAAAUCUCACCUGACAGAUCUUGACCUCAUUCUUUAGUUAAGUCAGACCCACCAUUAAGUGCGAGUGAAGCCAUCAUUGGACCCUCACCUGAU
RNAcentral lists this long non-coding RNA (218 nucleotides) under Elaeis guineensis (African oil palm). RNAcentral describes it as "long non-coding RNA (EGUI_LNC034337)". The record is from RNAcentral. Lineage: Eukaryota; Viridiplantae; Streptophyta; Magnoliopsida; Arecales; Arecaceae.